AGGAGCCUCUCUCCCGACUGCUGCUACUCGGGACCCUGAGACUGACCCGCAGGACAAACGCGAGACCAUGAAGACCCUGCUCCUCCUCACCACCCUGGCUGCCUUAGCGGUGGCGGCUUUGUGUUAUGAAUCUCAUGAAAGCAUGGAAUCCUAUGAAAUUAGUCCCUUCAUUAACAGGAGAAAUGCUUAUGCCUUUAUAUCCCCGCAGCAGAGAUGGAGAGCUAAAGCCCAAGAGAGG
Propithecus coquereli (Coquerel's sifaka) is the source of this 238-nucleotide long non-coding RNA. RefSeq lists it as uncharacterized. NCBI's taxonomy places the organism in Eukaryota, Metazoa, Chordata, Mammalia, Primates, Indriidae. The transcript is spliced from 3 exons. The record is from RefSeq and is a predicted model, not a curated record.